AAACUUUUAACAACGGAUCUCUUGGCUCUGGCAUCGAUGAAGAACGCAGCGAAAUGCGAUAAGUAAUGUGAAUUGCAGAAUUCAGUGAAUCAUCGAAUCUUUGAACGCACAUUGCGCCCGCCGGCAUUCCGGCGGGCAUGCCUGUCCGAGCGUCAUUU
Molecule: ribosomal RNA, 158 nt
Filed under: Striatibotrys oleronensis
Lineage: Eukaryota; Fungi; Ascomycota; Sordariomycetes; Hypocreales; Stachybotryaceae
Description: 5.8S ribosomal RNA
Rfam family: 5.8S ribosomal RNA
About the family: 5.8S ribosomal RNA (5.8S rRNA) is a component of the large subunit of the eukaryotic ribosome. It is transcribed by RNA polymerase I as part of the 45S precursor that also contains 18S and 28S rRNA.
Source: RNAcentral